RNAcentral lists this ribosomal RNA (562 nucleotides) under uncultured bacterium. Its description in RNAcentral is "partial 16S ribosomal RNA". It matches the Rfam family "Bacterial small subunit ribosomal RNA", at positions 355 to 1375 of the family's 1533-position model. The record is from RNAcentral.
UGGGGAAUUUUGCGCAAUGGGGGAAACCCUGACGCAGCAACGCCGCGUGGAGGAUGAAGUACUUCGGUACGUAAACUCCUUUCGAUCGGGACGAUUAUGACGGUACCGAGAGAAGAAGCCCCGGCUAACUUCGUGCCAGCAGCCGCGGUAAUACGAGGGGGGCGAGCGUUGUUCGGAAUUAUUGGGCGUAAAGGGUGCGUAGGCGGUUUGGUAAGUCUGAUGUGAAAUCUAUGGGCUCAACUCAUAGUCUGCAUCGGAAACUGCCGGGCUUGAGUAUGGGAGAGGUGAGUGGAAUUCCUGGUGUAGCGGUGAAAUGCGUAGAUAUCAGGAGGAACACCUGUGGCGAAAGCGGCUCACUGGACCAUAACUGACGCUGAUGCACGAAAGCUAGGGGAGCAAACAGGAUUAGAUACCCUGGUAGUCCUAGCCCUAAACGAUGACUGCUUGGUGUGACGGGUACCCAAUCCCGCCGUGCCGUAGCUAACGCGUUAAGCAGUCCGCCUGGGGAGUACGGUCGCAAGGCUGAAACUUAAAUGAAUUGACGGGGUCAUAGCUGUUUCCU